UUCUAUGCACAUAUCCAAUCAGGCCACAGCUGCAGGAUGAAGGCUCUAAACAGAGGAACAGACCAAGCCCAGGGCACGUUUCAGCCUAUUCUGUGUGCACCAGCCACUCUGACACUUUCUGUACUGGGAUUCAUAGCAUCACUUUCUCAGCAAAAAUUAUGUUGGGGAGAUGAAACAACAAAUCUAGAUAAAUACAGCCCUUGCCCUCCCAGAGCCAGAAACCUAGGAAACAGGCAGAAACCCUGCUGUCACAAGACACAGCAAACAUUAAACAUAGACUGUCCUUAGCUAUAAAGUUGACAACACUGUGCAUAAUUUAGUCCGUGGAACUGCAAACAUGUGGUCCACCAUCUUCCUGGCAACAUGAAAAGAAAGUAAAGCCUUAAGGAUGUGUGAACAACUAGGAAAGAGGGUGAGCUGCCAGCACCACGGGCAGAGGGAGCAGCUUGGAUCACGCAGGAACAUCCUGUGAACUCAUGAGCCUUGAGGACCUCUUCUUCUACUUCAAGGGCUGCCCCUGAGCUCGGGAACCCUAUUGCCACUUGCUUUCUCCACCAGCCUCUGGACCAAGCACUGUGUAUGAAGUCCUAAUUACAUUCCACUGAAGAAUCAUUCCAACUCAGCCCCAGGGAAUCUAACUGCAAAUUCUUCUGAUAAGGUAUGUGCACAG
This 670-nucleotide long non-coding RNA is filed under the name Rattus norvegicus (Norway rat). RNAcentral describes it as "long non-coding RNA NONRATT010954". Lineage: Eukaryota; Metazoa; Chordata; Mammalia; Rodentia; Muridae. The record is from RNAcentral.